GACGAACGCUGGCGGCGUGCUUAACACAUGCAAGUCGAACGGAAAGGCCCUGCUUUUGUGGGGUGCUCGAGUGGCGAACGGGUGAGUAACACGUGAUUAACCUGCCCUUGACUUUGGGAUAACUUCAGGAAACUGGGGCUAAUACCGGAUAGGAGCUCCUGCUGCAUGGUGGGGGUUGGAAAGUUUCGGAGGUUGGGGAUGUACUCGCGGCUUAUCAGCUUGUUGGUGGGGUAGUGGCUUACCAAGGCUUUGACGGGUAGCCGGCCUGAGAGGGUGACCGGCAACAAUGGGACUGAGAUACGGCCCAGACUCCUACGGGAGGCAGCAGUAGGGAAUAUUGCACAAUGGACGGAAGCCUGAUGCAGCAACGCCGCGUGAGGGAUGACGGCCUUCGGGUUGUAAACCGCUUUCGCCUGUGACGAAGCGUGAGUGACGGUAAUGGGUAAAGAAGCACCGGCUAACUACGUG
This 468-nucleotide ribosomal RNA is filed under the name uncultured bacterium. RNAcentral describes it as "partial 16S ribosomal RNA". It matches the Rfam family "Bacterial small subunit ribosomal RNA", at positions 28 to 507 of the family's 1533-position model. The record is from RNAcentral.